Molecule: ribosomal RNA, 621 nt
Filed under: Kalmanozyma fusiformata
Lineage: Eukaryota; Fungi; Basidiomycota; Ustilaginomycetes; Ustilaginales
Description: eukaryotic LSU rRNA
Rfam family: Eukaryotic large subunit ribosomal RNA
Source: RNAcentral
CAACGGAUUCCCUAGUACGGCGAGUGAAGAGGGAAGAGCCCAAGAUUGAAAGCUGGCGCCUUCGGCGUCCGCAUUGUAAUCUCAAGAAGUGUUUUCCGCUUCGGACCAUGCCUAAGUCCCUUGGAAAAGGGCAUCAUAGAGGGUGAUAAUCCCGUACAUGGCAUGGAGCGCCCGAAGCUUUGUGAUACGCUUUCUAAGAGUCGAGUUGUUUGGGAAUGCAGCUCAAAAUGGGUGGUAAAUGCCAUCUAAGGCUAAAUAUUGGGGAGAGACCGAUAGCGAACAAGUACAGUGAUGGAAAGAUGAAAAGAACUUUGAAAAGAGAGUUAAACAGUACGUGAAAUUGCCAAAAGGGAAGGGUAGGAGGUCAGAGAUGCGUUCUAGGAUUCAGCCUUGCUUUUGCAUGGUGUUUUUUCUAGUUUGCAGGCCAACGUCGGUUUUGGGCACUGGAGAAGGGUGGAAGGAAUGUGGCACCUCUCGGGGUGUGUUAUAGCCUUCUACUGGAUACAGCGACCGAGACCGAGGACAGCAGCGUACUCGCAAGAGCGGGCCUUCGGGCACCUUUACGCUUAGGGCGUUGGCAUAAUGGCCCUCUACCACCCGUCUUGAGCCCCCGGACACAAA